This 416-nucleotide long non-coding RNA is filed under the name Prunus persica (peach). Its description in RNAcentral is "long non-coding RNA (PPER_LNC002867)". The record is from RNAcentral. Lineage: Eukaryota; Viridiplantae; Streptophyta; Magnoliopsida; Rosales; Rosaceae.
AACCGGUUGGUCCAACCAAUCCAUGACAUGGACAUUAACAAAAAAUGUCACGACCUAGCUAGCUUGCAAAGCGAAGUGUGAAUCUAAAGCCUUUUGUGGUUGUGGUGGAGGUUCCUGGCUUAUAAGCCAAGAGAGGAGAUAGAGAGUUUCCCUCCUUUUACAUUUUCUUUUCAUUUUUUUUUUCCUAAUGUGGGAGUUUUAAGGUUUCAUAUAGGCCAUCCCAAAGUGUACAUUACUUGAAAAAGAGGGGCAUAUACUCUCCACUCUUCUUUUACGACCCCUCAUUGGUUGAAAUUCCUUAAGCCCUUUAUUAAAUUUUUGAGCUGCUUCUUACUUUUAAUAACUUUACAGCCAAGCCAAGCUCCAGAUUUGUCACAUGGAAUGGAAUUUUCUUUCCAACUUGAAAGCUAUUUGAC